ACUCAAAUGAAUUGACGGGGGCUCACACAAGCGGAGGAGCAUGUGGAUUAAUUCGAAGCAACGCGAAGAACCUUACCUGGGUUUGACAUGCACGGAUGCCGUCCAUGAAAGUGGAGCCGGCUGCCUUCGGGUGAAACGUGCACAGGUGCUGCAUGGCUGUCGUCAGCUCGUGCUGUGAAGUGUCGGGUUAAGUCCCUUAACGAGCGAAACCCUUAUCGUUAGUUGCCAGCGUUAAGUCGGGCACUUUAACGAGACCGCCGGUGUCAAACCGGAGGAAGGCGGGGAUGACGUCAAGUCCUCAUGGCCUUUAUGCCCAGGGCGUCACACGUGCUACAAUGGCGCGUACAGAGCGAUGCGAGAUCGCAAGGUGGAGCAAAUCGCACAAAGCGCGCCCCAGUUCGGAUUGGGGUCUGCAACUCGACCCCAUGAAGUUGGAUUCGCUAGUAAUCGCGGAUCAGCCACGCCGCGGUGAAUGUGUUCCUGAGCCUUGUACACACCGCCCGU
This 504-nucleotide ribosomal RNA is filed under the name uncultured bacterium. RNAcentral describes it as "partial 16S ribosomal RNA". It matches the Rfam family "Bacterial small subunit ribosomal RNA", at positions 899 to 1397 of the family's 1533-position model. The record is from RNAcentral.